RNAcentral lists this ribosomal RNA (1209 nucleotides) under metagenome. RNAcentral describes it as "bacterial SSU rRNA". It matches the Rfam family "Bacterial small subunit ribosomal RNA", at positions 277 to 1515 of the family's 1533-position model. The record is from RNAcentral.
CGAUCGGUAGCCGGACUGAGAGGUUGAACGGCCACAUUGGGACUGAGACACGGCCCAGACUCCUACGGGAGGCAGCAGUGGGGAAUAUUGCACAAUGGGGGAAACCCUGAUGCAGCGACGCCGCGUGGAGGAAGAAGGUCUUCGGAUUGUAAACUCCUGUUGUUGAGGAAGAUAAUGACGGUACUCAACAAGGAAGUGACGGCUAACUACGUGCCAGCAGCCGCGGUAAAACGUAGGUCACAAGCGUUGUCCGGAAUUACUGGGUGUAAAGGGAGCGCAGGCGGGAGAACAAGUUGGAAGUGAAAUCCAUGGGCUCAACCCAUGAACUGCUUUCAAAACUGUUUUUCUUGAGUAGUGCAGAGGUAGGCGGAAUUCCCGGUGUAGCGGUGGAAUGCGUAGAUAUCGGGAGGAACACCAGUGGCGAAGGCGGCCUACUGGGCACCAACUGACGCUGAGGCUCGAAAGUGUGGGUAGCAAACAGGAUUAGAUACCCUGGUAGUCCACACCGUAAACGAUGAUUACUAGGUGUUGGAGGAUUGACCCCUUCAGUGCCGCAGUUAACACAAUAAGUAAUCCACCUGGGGAGUACGACCGCAAGGUUGAAACUCAAAGGAAUUGACGGGGGCCCGCACAAGCAGUGGAGUAUGUGGUUUAAUUCGACGCAACGCGAAGAACCUUACCAAGUCUUGACAUCCCUUGACGAUGCUGGAAACAGUAUUUCUCUUCGGAGCAAGGAGACAGGUGGUGCAUGGUUGUCGUCAGCUCGUGUCGUGAGAUGUUGGGUUAAGUCCCGCAACGAGCGCAACCCUUAUGGUCAGUUACUACGCAAGAGGACUCUGGCCAGACUGCCGUUGACAAAACGGAGGAAGGUGGGGAUGACGUCAAAUCAUCAUGCCCUUUAUGUCUUGGGCUACACACGUACUACAAUGGCGUUAAACAAAGAGAAGCAAGACCGCGAGGUGGAGCAAAACUCAGAAACAACGUCCCAGUUCGGACUGCAGGCUGCAACUCGCCUGCACGAAGUCGGAAUUGCUAGUAAUCGUGGAUCAGCAUGCCACGGUGAAUACGUUCCCGGGCCUUGUACACACCGCCCGUCACACCAUGAGAGCCGGGGGGACCCGAAGUCGGUAGUCUAACCGCAAGGAGGACGCCGCCGAAGGUAAAACUGGUGAUUGGGGUGAAGUCGUAACAAGGUAGCCGUACUAGUAC